ACUCCUACGGGAGGCAGCAGUGGGGAAUAUUGGACAAUGGGCGAAAGCCUGAUCCAGCCAUGCCGCGUGUGUGAAGAAGGUCUUCGGAUUGUAAAGCACUUUAAGUUGGGAGGAAGGGCAGUAAGUUAAUACCUUGCUGUUUUGACGUUACCAACAGAAUAAGCACCGGCUAACUUCGUGCCAGCAGCCGCGGUAAUACGAAGGGGUGCAAGCGUUAAUCGGAAUUACUGGGCGUAAAGCGCGCGUAGGUGGUUCAGCAAGUUGGAUGUGAAAUCCCCGGGGCUCAACCUGGGAACUGCAUCCAAAACUACUGAGCUAGAGUACGGUAGAGGGUGGUGGAAUUUCCUGUGUAGCGGUGAAAUGCGUAGAUAUAGGAAGGAACACCAGUGGCGAAGGCGACCACCUGGACUGAUACUGACACUGAGGUGCGAAAGCGUGGGGAGCAAAC
This 448-nucleotide ribosomal RNA is filed under the name uncultured bacterium. RNAcentral describes it as "bacterial SSU rRNA". It matches the Rfam family "Bacterial small subunit ribosomal RNA", at positions 335 to 773 of the family's 1533-position model. The record is from RNAcentral.